This 916-nucleotide long non-coding RNA is filed under the name Manihot esculenta (cassava). RNAcentral's name for it is "long non-coding RNA (MESC_LNC005718)". The record is from RNAcentral. Lineage: Eukaryota; Viridiplantae; Streptophyta; Magnoliopsida; Malpighiales; Euphorbiaceae.
GUAAAAGGAAUUUGCAUAUUUGAUCAGGUCUGGAAUUGUGCUCGAUUCAAUUUGAACCUUGCCUUGUCUCAUGCAUUAAUAUCCCAGGAUCCACUUUUCCUGCAGAAUACCAAUAGUAGAGCAUGUUUAUUAAUUUUUUUAUAAAUUGGCUCUGACGGGUUCAAAUUCGACAUCUUUUAAUCUAAAGACGACUCCAGUACAAUGGGUUUGGUCUCAUGGUUUAGUACACGUGAAACUCAUACGAUUCAAUGGUCUAAAUUCAUCAAACAGUACAUUUCCCUUCAAGCACAUGCAUGGAAUCUGCUUUAGCAUAAAUCCAUGACUGAUAUAUGUGGACCAAUUCUUAACCAUUAAGCUGAGACCAAUAGAAAAAGGAUAUGGAGUGUGAAUGCAGAAAAUUAAGCAAGACCAUCUUUUUCUCUCACCUGAAGAAACUUCUCCUGAUAAUACCAUGUUCCAAUAGAAUAUGGUUGCUUAUCAAUCAGGAAAUUGCUAUAUUGAAUUCCUCCAGAGGAAAAAAAAGGGUGAAGUUGAAAUAUCAUCACUAAUAGUAGAUCAAAAGAGAUGGAUUAGUUUGACAGAUGAAAUAAGGAAUUUCCCAUCAACCAAACACAUUUAGCACCGUGGAAAUGAAGCUUUUGUGGAUUAGUUUGAGGGAUGAAAUUCCAGGUCCCUGGAAGAAAAGUAUAAACUACAAGUACAAAUCAAUCUGUUCUAAAUUAAUUUCCAACUUUUGCUGGCAUAUCAGUACUCUUUAACUGCUUUGAUGCUUUAGGAAUGGGAAAUUUACUAUCAGAUCCCUAGACUUUUAUAAAAUUUACAAAAAAAAUUUACUAUUGAGUCUCUUAAUAUUGCAUUAUUAACAAAUUAGUUCUUUUAUUUUUGAUUAAAAAAAUAAAAAAUAUAUAUUAAACAG